Molecule: long non-coding RNA, 1813 nt
Organism: Pyrus x bretschneideri (Chinese white pear)
Lineage: Eukaryota; Viridiplantae; Streptophyta; Magnoliopsida; Rosales; Rosaceae
Exons: 2
Source: RefSeq, a predicted model, not a curated record
CAAAUCCCUUAUCUAAACAUAGCCAAAAGGUCAUGAAGAUGGAGCAGAAAUAAAGGUGAGGGUAGCAUGCGCAUAACUAGGCCACAGAAUACGAGGGAAUCCUUGUCUAUUGGUAACUGGUAUGCCGUUGUUAUACUUGUAAACAUAGACAUGGAUUCAAGUCUUAAAUAAUUAUCUUCAUGAUAGAGGGAUGCCAAAGGGGAUUAGGGUAACAUACAUCUCAGAUGUAGCUUUUGAAAGGGUGGCUGGCAUUCCUAGAGUCCUAGUUCCGACAACUCAAUUCAGCAUUCUAGAACUGCAUUCGGGUGACCAAAAUUCAUUUUCAUCCCUUUGAAAAUAGUACGUUUAGCAAAUAGUUCCCAGAUCUUCAGUGUCAACAAAAAAGCAAAAGAAAGAACGCGUGAUUAAAACGCUUAUAUAUAUAGGUGUAGAUAUAUAGCUGUGUGCCUGUGUAUAGCACAUUGAAUGAGAUCUUUAUUUAGAAUUGUGGGAGUAGGGAAAGAUGAUCCGUAUGUCCAAGCUUUCAAAAAACCAGUUUAAUAUUACAAAUUAGAUGAUUAAGGAAGCAGAAGAGUUAUAUUUAAUUUAAGCAUUGAAAGUCUUCACUACUUAACAACUAUAGAACGUUAAAACUUCAGAAAAAUGGAAUCUGAAAGCAACAAGCGAAAGCCACAGCUGAACAUGUGUGUCUAGUUAUUUAAUAUUAUACCACAUCCUGCCUGGACAGUUCUCACCCAAACGGAAACCACUCAGAAGAUGUUCCUUUUCACUACACCUGGAGUUGGAUGUUUUCUUGUUUUAUAUGAGUAAAAAUAAAAUUUAAAGGGGAGGAGGUGUUCAAGUUAGACAAGUUUGAAGGUUAUAUAUUUAGUUGAUUUCAGUUCUCUACGUGAACACCUUAACUGUAAGUUCUCAAAUAUGUCGUUAUAAAUUUCAUUAAAGAAUUAGUUAGAGUCAUCUCAUUCAGUCACGCCUUUUAGAGUAUAUUUAAUGCAUGCAAAUUAGCCUACGAAAAGUGUUAUUAAGCCCUAAAUGACAAAAUUCAAUUUCUAACGCGACGUAUUAAGCCCAGGCUAAACUUGCCCAGGGCUCUUUGAGCGGCCAGUUUAGCCUCGGCUCUUGCCCAAGGCUCUUGAAGAGCCAACUUAGGAAGAAACCUGGUGCCAAUGAAAACUAGCCACCUAAGCCAACUUAGGAAGAAACCUGUAGCCAAUGAAAACUAGCCACCUAACACAUUUUAGCCCCUAGCCUCUAAUACCAUUAGAACAACAAAGUUUUGAGAGGGCUGGAUUUCAAGAAUAAUGACAUUUUGAGAGUCCAAAUAAAGCCUCUUGCCCCUAGCCCUUGCCUUUGCCAGUAGACUUGCUCUAAAUCUUGGAUUGAUAUCAUCAAUUGUUUUUUUACAUGGGAAGUUUUAUUGACACUCUAAAAAUCUCAUUCUACACUCUUCACAAGUGUAAUUUUCUUUCCAAAUAUAGAAAGUUAGGAGUGUAGAAUGAGAAUUUUGGAGUGCUAAUAACAAUUCCCUUUUACAUAUUCAAACUCUUGCUUUCCAGGAAUCCGAACGAGUGGGAAUGAAAUGAUGAGAAAUUGACAUUUAUGGCAUAUUUGUAAGUUUAUACCUUAUGCACUGGUGAAUUGUUUAUAUUUUUUUGGGGUAUUUCUUUAGUCUGUCUGUGACCCUCUGUUGCUUGAACGUUUGAAACUAUAUAUCUAAAGAAAUGAUGAUGUUGCAUGCUUACACCUGUAAUCUCACAAGGGUAUAUCCCUGGUAUAUUAUCCUUCAAUUAUGCAUAUGAUUAUUCGUUUUAUA